Molecule: ribosomal RNA, 497 nt
Filed under: uncultured bacterium
Lineage: Bacteria
Description: partial 16S ribosomal RNA
Rfam family: Bacterial small subunit ribosomal RNA
Source: RNAcentral
GAUGAACGCUGGCGGCGUGCCUAAUACAUGCAAGUCGAGCGAACAGACGAGGAGCUUGCUCCUCUGACGUUAGCGGCGGACGGGUGAGUAACACGUGGAUAACCUACCUAUCAGACUGGGAUAACUUCGGGAAACCGGAGCUAAUACCGGAUAAUAUAUUGAACCGCAUGGUUCAAUAGUGAAAGACGGUUUUGCUGUCACUUAUAGAUGGAUCCGCGCCGCAUUAGCUAGUUGGUAAGGUAACGGCCUACCAAGGCAACGAUGCGUAGCCGACCUGAGAGGGUGAUCGCCCACACUAGAGCGGGGCCGCGGUCCAGACGCCUACGGGAGGCAGCAGUAGGGAAUCUUCGGCAGUGGGCGAAAGCCUGACGGAGCAACGCCGCGUGAGUGAUGAAGGUCUUCGGAUCGUAAAACUCUGUUAUUAGGGAAGAACAAAUGUGUAAGUAACUAUGCACGUCUUGACGGUACCUAAUCAGAAAGCCACGGCUAACUACGUG